Molecule: ribosomal RNA, 497 nt
Filed under: uncultured bacterium
Lineage: Bacteria
Description: partial 16S ribosomal RNA
Rfam family: Bacterial small subunit ribosomal RNA
Source: RNAcentral
GAUGAACGCUGGCGGCGUGCCUAAUACAUGCAAGUCGAGCGAACGGACGAGAAGCUUGCUUCUCUGAUGUUAGCGGCGGACGGGUGAGUAACACGUGGAUAACCUACCUAUAAGACUGGGAUAACUUCGGGAAACCGGAGCUAAUACCGGAUAAUAUUUUGAACCGCAUGGUUCAAAAGUGAAAGACAGUCUUGCUGUCACUUAUAGAUGGAUCCGCGCUGCAUUAGCUAGUUGGUAAGGUAACGGCUUACCAAGGCAACGAUGCAUAGCCGACCUGAGAGGGUGAGCGGCCACACUGGAACUGAGACACGGUCCAGACUCCUACGGGAGGCAGCAGUAGGGAAUCUUCCGCAAUGGGCGAAAGCCUGACGGAGCAACGCCGCGUGAGUGAUGAAGGUCUUCGGAUCGUAAAACUCUGUUAUUAGGGAAGAACAGAUGUGUAAGUAACUGUGCACAUCUUGACGGUACCUAAUCAGAAAGCCACGGCUAACUACGUG